Molecule: ribosomal RNA, 497 nt
Filed under: uncultured bacterium
Lineage: Bacteria
Description: bacterial SSU rRNA
Rfam family: Bacterial small subunit ribosomal RNA
Source: RNAcentral
AUGAACGCUAGCGACAGGCUUAACACAUGCAAGUCGAGGGGUAACAGGGUAGCAAUACCGCUGACGACCGGCGCACGGGUGAGUAACGCGUAUGCAACCUGCCUAUAACUGUGGAAUAGCUCCCUGAAAGGGGAAUUAACACCGCAUAACACUAUUGAUUCGCAUGGAUUGGUAGUUAAAUGUAGCGAUACAGGUUAUAGAUGGGCAUGCGUGACAUUAGCUAGUUGGUGAGGUAACGGCUCACCAAGGCUACGAUGUCUAGGGGUUCUGAGAGGAAGGUCCCCCACACUGGUACUGAGACACGGACCAGACUCCUACGGGAGGCAGCAGUGAGGAAUAUUGGUCAAUGGGCGCAAGCCUGAACCAGCCAUGUCGCGUGCAGGAAGACUCGCCCUAUGGGUUGUAAACUGCUUUUAUAGUAGAAGAAACACAUCUACGUGUAGAUGUCUGCCAGUAUACUAUGAAUAAGCAUCGGCUAACUCCGUGCCAGCCGCUGC